Molecule: long non-coding RNA, 2401 nt
Organism: Equus caballus (horse)
Lineage: Eukaryota; Metazoa; Chordata; Mammalia; Perissodactyla; Equidae
Source: Ensembl
AGUAUCCCAAUAUACUUGAUUAUUUGAUAUAUUUGGUCCUGAGUGUUCUUGUAGCCGAAGAUUUAUUUUCAUCGCCAACCCUGUGUUUGCUCCUCUCCCUCGUUUAAAGCCACUACUAAUUGUGUUAAAUAGGAGGAUGAAAGUGCAAGAAGAGAGUCUUGAUCUGGCCCUGGCUCCCUCUGACCCAGAGUCAGCGCUCUCAGACUCUGCUGUACGUGGAGGGCCUGGAGCCCAUGAACCUGGGGACUUGUCUUGCAAGUCUACAGUCAGACCAUCUGUACUUCACAAGGUCCCUUUCUCAAUGGCCCUGCCCUCCAUCAUUCUCCAACCACAGAAUUCCAUAACCAGUACUUCAUGCCUGGAGAAUGUAGAAGAGACAAAUGCCAAGAAUUGGAUUUUUCAGAUGAAAUCGCAACUUGAUAUGUGACCCUCUCACAUUUAAAUUUAUGGGAAUCCCAACUUGUCAAACACCUGUAAACACGCAUUGAACAAAGGAUGAACAAUUGAAGUCAAAUGAAAUUCUGUGGGAGAGAUACAAAGAGGGAAAGAGAGAGAAUGAGUGCAUCUGGAUUCAGAACAAAUUAAAGCAAGAGAUACGGAGGCAGAAUGAGGGAGCUAAACCAUCAACAUUCCUGCUGCUACCUCUGGAUGGGAGAACACGGCCCCCUCUCAACUCUGAAGCUUGGGAGUUCCCUGGGAGGGCAGGGCUGGGUCUGCAGAGCAUGCGCGCCUCCCCUGCCUACAGCUGGGGCAUCAGGACUUCAGGCCAGUCCUGCUGCUGUGGAGGGACCUGCACAGAGAGCAGCAUUUGGGGUAUGGGACUCCCUUUAGAAUGUGGACCUAAUCCCUGGCCAAGGGGAGUGAGUAAGAGCCAGGCAAGAAGCUUCUGUUGAUCUGCAGGCAGAAGGAGUCUUACAAAAACGGAAUGCGGGUGGAGCUGAGCGCAGUGUUCUUAGGUCCUGAUCCCAGUCAAUCACCUUCACUCAGGAAGAAUGGUGAAAGAUAGAGAGAAGGGUGGGACAUUGUCCUCUACUCUUUCCUCUCCUGGAGAGUGUGGAGAAACUCUCCGCUUUGCCUCUCCUUCUCUAUGGAAAUAUGAGGGCCUUAUAAGCAUUUUUCUCUAAAAAUGCUCAUGGUUGCAGCAAGCAGACAUUCCAGAAACAAAUUUCUGGUGCAGAAAUCAUAUGUAUAAAAGCUUGAUGUGAGAAAAUGUGGGAUGUGUAUGUGCAAGGGGGUGCUCCUUGGUGCUUGAAGCUUGGGGUGCUUGUAAGGAAGUGGGGGAGAAUAAGGCAAGAAAGAUAUUGCCAGAUUCCGGGAGCCUCGAAUUCCAGGCCAGGGAGUUUGACUUUGAUCCUUAGGCACUGCAAAUCCACGCAUCUUAUUGGAAACAUCACUCUAAGCAUCUGUCCCCACCGAGCAGGGAGCUGUGCUGGGUUCCAUCAGACACAGCUGGCCUUAGCCACCCCUCCAUGUUACUUGCUUGUGAGCAAUGCUAGGUGUAUUCCUCUAGGUUUCAGGAUGAGAUCACAUUGCUUGUUUACCUAAAACAGACUGUAGGAAAUCUGCAACCAAAUAUCCUUGAGGUAAAUACAGAAACAACAGAAAAGCAAACAGCAGACGACUGAGAAUGGGAUCCCCUGAUGGAGUUUGGAGGAGGCAGAACACAGAGAGCAGCCUCUGGAGUGCCCAAGCCCCACAGCUCAUCACCCCGCAUCCAUUCUAAGGAUGGGGCAGAGCUGCAGGACAACACUGAGUGAGGGACAGAGACAAGAGACAAACGUGAGCUUUGGACUCACUAACUCAAGUCAGAAACAAUAUUAGGGAAAAAUAAAGGUUGACUCCAUAAAUAGAAGAAUUUAGUUCAGUUAUAGAGAGAACCAUGCCAACAGUUCAAGCAAUUUAAAGGAUGUAAUGAACCAGUGUGAGGACUAGUCCCCCAGUUUCUCCCCAAAAUUGGUAAUAUUAACUCCUUAUACUCAUUCAGCGCAUUGCAAUUUGCAAGCCCUUUCACAUGAUGUUAUCUCUUGGGUCUUCACAAACAGCCUGGGAUCUAAGGAGGGCUAGGGAAGAAGGAGCCCCAUUUGAGGAAACUGAAGCCCAGUUCCAUGACCAGGUCUAGAACCAGGCCAGCUUUCCCUCUGGCUCCACUGUAAUGCCAUAGUUGUGUUGGUGGGGGCUUUCCUUGAGAAAGAUGAUGGAGGCAUUGAUCAAUAGUUUAUCAGUCUGUCCUCCAUAUAGAGGUCUGCAAUAGACAAUGUUACCAUGAGGCUUCAUUCUAUAUGGUACCAUCCAUCCAUACUAUUUCCAAAGUGACUAGGUCUACUUAAUCUAAAGUGGGUAAGUAGAAUGAUAAAUAGAACUGUAUUUACAAGCAAAGAUAGAUAUUGAAAUUAAAACUGGG